RNAcentral lists this ribosomal RNA (253 nucleotides) under uncultured bacterium. RNAcentral's name for it is "partial 16S ribosomal RNA". It matches the Rfam family "Bacterial small subunit ribosomal RNA", at positions 524 to 776 of the family's 1533-position model. The record is from RNAcentral.
UACAGAGGUCUCAAGCGUUGUUCGGAUUCAUUGGGCGUAAAGGGUGCGUAGGCGGCGCGGUAAGUCGGGUGUGAAAUCUUGGAGCUUAACUCCGAAACUGCAUUCGAUACUGCCGUGCUUGAGGACUGGAGAGGAGACUGGAAUUUACGGUGUAGCGGUGAAAUGCGCAGAUAUCAGGAGGAACACCGAUGGCGAAGGCAGCCCCCUGGGUCAAGAUUGACGCUCAUGCACGAAAGCGUGGGGAGCAAACAGG